Molecule: ribosomal RNA, 495 nt
Filed under: uncultured bacterium
Lineage: Bacteria
Description: partial 16S ribosomal RNA
Rfam family: Bacterial small subunit ribosomal RNA
Source: RNAcentral
GAUGAACGCUGGCGGCGUGCCUAAUACAUGCAAGUCGAGCGAACAGACGAGGAGCUUGCUCCUCUGACGUUAGCGGCGGACGGGUGAGUAACACGUGGAUAACCUACCUAUAAGACUGGGAUAACUUCGGGAAACCGGAGCUAAUACCGGAUAAUAUAUUGAACCGCAUGGUUCAAUAGUGAAAGACGGUUUUGCUGUCACUUAUAGAUGGAUCCGCGCCGCAUUAGCUAGUUGGUAAGGUAACGGCUUACCAAGGCAACGAUGCGUAGCCGACCUGAGAGGGUGAUCGGCCACACUGGAACUGAGACACGGGCCAGACUCCUACGGGAGGCAGCAGUAGGGAAUCUUCCGCAAUGGGCGAAAGCCUGACGGAGCAACGCCGCGUGAGUGAUGAAGGUCUUCGGAUCGUAGAACUCUGUUAUUAGGGAAGAACAAAUGUGUAAGUAACUAUGCACGUCUUGACGGUACCUAAUCAGAAAGCCACGGCUAACUACG